GAUGAAGUUAUAGAGUGUUUGGCGUUUGUUUUGCAGUGUGUCUAAGUGAUUUGGUGGUCAUGAUGGUGCUGAGAACUUCAUCAAGUCAGAGAGAUUCAAGAAGAUGAAUGUUGAGAUUGUUCUCGAUGACGGUGACCAAACUGCAACCAAGGCAAGAGGGGUUUAAUGCACUGCAAAACAAUUGACAGUAUACCAAAAAAAGGGACAGUAAUAAGUGCAUGUAAAUAUUAUUAAAAUUAUGCGGCAACUAUACGAGGGUAGGUGAUACCCAAGGAGUCAUCCAUUAAAAUUUGACUAAU
Molecule: long non-coding RNA, 299 nt
Organism: Papaver somniferum (opium poppy)
Lineage: Eukaryota; Viridiplantae; Streptophyta; Magnoliopsida; Ranunculales; Papaveraceae
Exons: 4
Source: RefSeq, a predicted model, not a curated record